GCACCAAUGGUGAUUCAGUGGUAGAGUGCUCGUCUGCCAGGUGGGCGACCCGAGUUCGAUUCCCGGCCAAUGCA
This is a non-coding RNA of Parelaphostrongylus tenuis, 74 nucleotides long. The record is from the annotation of a GenBank genome assembly. NCBI's taxonomy places the organism in Eukaryota, Metazoa, Nematoda, Chromadorea, Rhabditida, Metastrongylidae.